UGUCCACCGAAAGCCUAAGGUUUCCUGGGGAAGGCUCGUCCUCCCAGGGUUAGUCGGGACCUAAGCUGAGGCCGAAAGGCGUAGGCGAUGGACAACUGGUUGAUAUUCCAGUACCACCUCUGUUCCGUUUGAGCAAUGGCGUGACGCAGGAGGAUAGGGUGAGCGGCCUAUUGGAUGGCCGUCUAAGCAGUAAGUGUGGUGUGUAGGCAAAUCCGCACAC
This 220-nucleotide ribosomal RNA is filed under the name Brevibacillus laterosporus. Its description in RNAcentral is "partial 23S ribosomal RNA". It matches the Rfam family "Bacterial large subunit ribosomal RNA", at positions 1331 to 1549 of the family's 2925-position model. The record is from RNAcentral. Lineage: Bacteria; Bacillati; Bacillota; Bacilli; Caryophanales; Paenibacillaceae.